GUCUCUGUAGCGUAAUGCUUAGCUCGUUGGACUUUUUAUCCAAAGGUCGUGGGUUCGAAUCCCACCUAGGAUG
RNAcentral lists this transfer RNA (73 nucleotides) under Trichonephila inaurata madagascariensis. It matches the Rfam family "tRNA". Rfam says of the family: Transfer RNA (tRNA) molecules are approximately 80 nucleotides in length. Their secondary structure includes four short double-helical elements and three loops (D, anti-codon, and T loops). Lineage: Eukaryota; Metazoa; Arthropoda; Arachnida; Araneae; Nephilidae. The record is from Rfam by way of RNAcentral.